CUCGUCUUGAUUGGCAGAUGUAAAUAAACGGUGGAACGGCUGUAAAAGAGCCUUGCCACUGGGUAAAAUCAGGAUGUGCCGCGGAACCCGCUCCUCAGUCGGUCAACUUUGGAAGCGCGGGCAACGCAGGUAUUAUCGUCUAAAGGGCCGGGUGCAACCGGCCC
RNAcentral lists this small RNA (164 nucleotides) under uncultured Collinsella sp. Its description in RNAcentral is "Collinsella-1 RNA". It matches the Rfam family "Collinsella-1 RNA", at positions 33 to 196 of the family's 196-position model. The record is from RNAcentral. Lineage: Bacteria; Bacillati; Actinomycetota; Coriobacteriia; Coriobacteriales; Coriobacteriaceae.